Molecule: ribosomal RNA, 340 nt
Filed under: uncultured eukaryote
Lineage: Eukaryota
Description: partial 18S ribosomal RNA
Rfam family: Eukaryotic small subunit ribosomal RNA
Source: RNAcentral
CCCUUAGAUGUUCUGGGCCGCACGCGCGCUACACUGACGACUUCAACGAGUUUUUUUCAUUUGAAAAAGUCCUUGGCCGGAAGGUCUGGGUAAUCUUUUAAAAGGUCGUCGUGAUGGGGCUAGAUUCUUGCAAUUAUUAAUCUCCAACGAGGAAUUCCUAGUAAACGCAAGUCAUCAACUUGCAUUGAUUACGUCCCUGCCCUUUGUACACACCGCCCGUCGCACCUACCGAUUGAACGUUCCGGUGGGACCUUGGGAUUUGGUCUUUGGUACUUUAUUGUGCCGUUGACCGAAAAACUUGAGCAAACCUUAACGUUUAGAGGAAGGUGAAGUCGUAACA